GAGGUUCCAUGGCCUGCAAUGGGCAGGAGGUCCAGCUAGAUCGGGGUGGGCAAACUACGGCCCAUGGGCCACAUCUGGCCCACGGGACCGUCCUGCCCGGCCCCUGAGCUCCUGGCCCGGGAGGCUAGCCGCCAGUCCCUUCCCUGCUGUCCCCCUCCCCCACAGCCACAGCUCGCUCGCUCUGCUGCCAGCGCAGUGCUCUGGGUGGCGGGGCUGUGAGCUCCUGGGGCAGCGCAACUGCAGAGCCCAGCCUGACCCAGUGCUCUGAGAUGUGUGGUGGCGGCAGCCGCGUGGCCCAGCUCCAGCCGGGUGGCCCGGCUGUACUGCCACCAGCCAGGCAGCGCGAACAGCACAGGCCGACUGAGGUUGUGGUCUUAAAGUAAAAGUGGUCUGAGGAACCGCAAGGUCCAGGUCUGAUUCUGUGACCCCGGGUGGGGGUUGGAAAGUAAACGUCUGCAGCAACCCUACAAAGAACAGGAACAGCUCCAUCUUGGCCAGACUUUCUCCAAUGCAAUUCCUGCGCCCUGCAGUGUCAAAAAUGAUUAGAUUUAACUCAGCACCGAGGUGAGGGAAGGAAUCACGGUUAUUCCCUGGAAUACAACACAAAGCGCAAACUAAAAGAGGUCUUUGGCUCUACAAACCCCUCUACUUCCAAAAGCAACAUGAAAUCGCUGAUCGAACUGACACUCCGAUCGUGAGGAAUUCCCUUAGAGGUGCCGCAAGGGUAGAGGAACUGCCUCGGGGAAUUGAUGGCGCUGUUUGAGGGAAGGGAUCACAGAUUUGGCCCAUAACCAUUAUCUGAACCUGUGAUAUAUUGUUCUACAAAGGGCCAUUUUUGGAGGCAGGACUUUCUGGAAUGAAUACAUCCAAAAUGGCAGCACCGACUGGCAGGAGAGGCAAAAUACCUGAGCGCCGAAUCCAGUAUGGUUCAUCUUUCAUGAAGUGAUUCCUCAGCUGUGACACUCUUGCUACUUUUCCCAGAAGAAGAGAGCUUGUAGCGCUAAAGCUUGUCUCUGUCACCACAAUAAGUUGGUUCAAGAAAAGAUACCACCUCACUUCCACCUUGUCUAAUUUCUGUCUAGGAGCCUCAGUCAUGCACCAGGACCCCGAAUAUUUACUGCCCUGUUUAUUAAACACUGACAGAAACAGAUCCGAGGCAGAGCUGGAUGGGCAGGAAGGAAACAUGCUCAGACAGCCAGGGUGAAGUUUUGCAAAACUGUCCUCUUGGGGCGUGUAAAGAGGUGCAAAAACCUUUGCUGGCAUAAUGCACAUGAUGCAGACAUCCUGAUGGCACCCAGAUGUGGGAUAUGCUGCACCUGCCAAAUUUGCUGUUGUGUCGCUUGGGAGUAUGAUUGCAUGACCAUGUUUCGAGAGAAAGGGAUGCAGUGUGAGAGAGAAGACUUGUAUGCUCUCCAACAGCUGCAUACGUUACCAUCCACAGCAACCACCGAGCAAGCAUGGUGUUCCCUUCAGAAAGGAAUAGUCAAUAUACUCCCAACACAUCAAGCCACUACGACCUGUGCUGUCUUGCAGGAUUUUCCCUGGCUUGCCAUAC
This is a long non-coding RNA of Mauremys reevesii (Reeves's turtle), 1555 nucleotides long. RefSeq lists it as uncharacterized. The transcript has 7 exons. Lineage: Eukaryota; Metazoa; Chordata; Testudines; Geoemydidae. The record is from RefSeq and is a predicted model, not a curated record.